Long non-coding RNA from Homo sapiens (human), 688 nucleotides. RefSeq lists it as uncharacterized. The transcript has 2 exons. The record is from RefSeq and is a predicted model, not a curated record. Lineage: Eukaryota; Metazoa; Chordata; Mammalia; Primates; Hominidae.
GGGAAGGGCUCUUUGCGCAUGUGCCACCCCGCCUAUGCACGCCAUCUUCCGCCAGAGAAUCCCGGCUCCUGCUGCAAUGGAGAGGCUGCUCUGGAAGCUCUGGCAUUGGGGUCUUCAUCCCUGCAGUCUUUUCCAGCUAUUGUGUAGAGCGUUUUGGGCAAGAGAAUCUAGGACCAAGCCACACCGGUUCUCUGCUUUAACCCACUCCAUUCGACUGUUCUCCCAGCUAUGUUUCCAGAGUGCUCUGUGCAUUUCCACAAUCAACAAAAGAUGAACAAAUCUCUUGUGAGUCAUUUGUUUAUAUAUUCCUCUCUUUGUUUUACAUUGUAUUUUUUGCCUUUAUGGAGUCCACGGAUUAAAAUGAAAAAAUAGAAAUAAGUAAAAUUCACGUCAAAGGAAAUGCACAUAAAUAAAAUAAUGCUGGCAUGUAGACAUAUGCAGGUUAUAAGCCAUGGAACUGGAGUACAAAUGUGUCUCUGGUCUUUCUGAUGCUGCAACAAAAAGGCAGUCACGUUUGUUACAUGAUUGGAAUGGAACCUGGAAGGAGUGCAUGCUGCAUUCUCAUGGGACAGGAAGACUUGCUGUCACCAAAGUCUGGAACACUGACUGCAUUGGUCACAGAGAUGAUGUAGUGAAAAGUUUUUUUUACUGCCAACCUGGAAAUAAAUACUUUUAGCAUUUUGCAGUA